AAGCAUGGACAAGUGGUCAUACAAAAACCCGAAGUCAAGGUCUAUCAAAUUGCAUCAUCUGUUACAAAUCCAUUAGUUACCAAAUAUCUUAUGAGCCUUCUUCACGAACACUUCGAUUCCUUGCCUUUUCUGGACUCAAAUGGAAGCCCAAUUCGUGUUCCAUUAAUGAAGCUUUUCACUUCCAUGGAAGAUUUUUCAGCUCACCUUUUGGAUGGUGCCAUGCAGCGAAGCAUUAUUGGAUCUUCAAAUGGCGAGCUGCUGGCUCAGAAACAAUAUGAAAUUUUACGCAGAAAGGAGUUCGCUAAUGUAUACCUUCCAUACGGAUUUUAUGCUGGAAGGUAAUAUUAACUAAUUAAUUUGAGGUUACUGCAUCAAUAUAUAACUCUAUUAUAAUUAUUAUUUGGCCUAAAGUAUUAUUAUUUUUUCAUGCAUGAUCUCCACGUGCCAGGUUUGAUUGCAGCAACACACUGGGGCUAAUGCAGAUCAUGAAUGAAGAAGAGAAGAAAAAGUUUGGAUUUGACAUGGGGAGCAUUGAUUGGAAGCAUUACAUUACAAAUGUUCACGUACCAGGCUUAAGGAGGCAUGUCAUGAAGGAAAGGAGACGGGAGAAGAGGGUGGGAGCUGAGAAUAAAAUUCCGGGGGGGCCAAAAUUUGAUAAAAGUAAACUUUAAGGAGUAAAGAUUAAAAAAUGCAUUUAAUUAUUGGGUUAAACUGCUAAAGUAUUAAACUUACGGGGGCCACAUUAAAAAAUUAAACUAUGUUCUCUGAGAUGAAUUUAUUAGCUCCGCCCAUUACGGGAGAUAUCUAGCUGCUGUUUAAUGACCAUGUGAAUCAUGUUUAGUCAUGUUACUACUUUACAUUAAUAUUUUGAUUUUUAAUAAUAAAUAGAUAUUAUGAAAUUUAUUUUUAUUAAAGGGAAAUAAUGAAAAAUAGGCCCUUCAAUUAAAAAAAUAAAUUAAUAAAUGCCAAUAAAUUGAUAAUGAUAAUUUCUAUAUUUUUGAUGAAUUAAUCCUCAUUGUUACGCAUUUACUCUAAAGGUGGUUGAUUUGAGUGAGUUAUUGGAGAUUUGAUGCAUCUUUGGUGACCGGAAGAUGCAAUGCUUUUGGUCUAAUUGAUGUUUGGGCUAUAGAGGGAUUGAUGAAAAGGAGAAGAGGGCCGUUAGAAGAGAUACUUAACCAUAAUUAUGUAUUGAAUUUAAUUAAAUGUAUGUUAUUAUAUAUGUUAUUGUGCGCGACAUAUCACAUUUUACCGGAUUAUUAAUCAGAUUGUAAGACGUUAGUCAAUAAUCAAGUGACACAUGGUCAUUGCACAUUAUACUUGGUUGGGACUCAUUUACAAUUUCUGGGCAGUCCAAAAGAAUAAGAACUAAUGAUAAUAAUGAUUAACAUGUUGAUUUAAUGUAAUGAUAACAUAAGUAAUCUGCGGGGUGGAGACGUCAAUCAUGGAGAAAAGCGGUCAUGUAGACCUCUGACGUAUCUCGACUGCUGAUGUGUAGACGUGUAGUCUGGGUUUGACUUUAACCAAUCCAGCUCAUUUGUCCUGUAACAUAUUUAUUUAUUAAUUACAUUUUAUGUCGAUUUUUUUUAUAUCAUUAAUGUCAUAUACAAUUUGCUUGUACGCGUAGUAUUCAAAAGCGCUGACUGGCCUAUUUACAAGUGCUGUGGUAAGCUCUGUUCAGGCAGAAAACAAAGAUGGAAUAACUGUUUCGGAUUUUAUUUCCUGUCUUCUUAGAGAUUUUGGGCAAACAAGUGGACCGAGUAGUAGCCAGGAGGAUAUUAGGACCUCAGUAGCUUGGGGGGACAUUGGAAAUGCUGUCCCACAUUUAUUCACAAGGAAUCCAGGAUGCUGUACCAUGUAAUAACUAUUGACUUAUUCUUCUUUUCCUGUUGUUGUGUCCGUUUUGAAAUAUUUGAAUAUCUUUAUAUUUACUUUUGUUCUUUCUUCAGGAUUGGGCCCAUGAAUAAGGAGUAUAGGCAGCGGAAGUUUGCUGCAUCUAUAAAAUGUAAAAGACCAACAAAAAUUGUUCGGCCUGCAGAGGUAAGAGUUUUGUAAUUCAAGCUUCCGUGUUAGUUAAUAUGAAAUUAUUGGCUUUAGUUAUUUGUUAUCUCUCUUGUCUUACUUGAAGAUUACUUUUCCUUGGAGGCCUUGUACAAGUUAAUGAGCUUUCCACUACCCUUACAAGCUGUGUUGAUUGCGAUAUGCUUUGCAUAUUCUUACAUUAUUUGUUUAAGAGUUCCAUUUGGAUUAUAUAUGUCUAGUAGUUUCUUCUGCCUUUUUCCCCUGCUGCAAGAUUGAUCAAUAUUUUAAAUUUGGUGUAACUUUUGUGCAGGUUGAUGGUACAGCUACGAAAGAGAGAAUAGAUACCGAUAAAAAUAUGUUAACCAUGUUUAAUAUCUUGAGGAAAAACAGAAGAGUCAGACUUGAGCAUCUGGUAUUGAACAGAAAUUCUUUUGCACAGACGGUGGAAAAUUUAUUUACCCUAUCAUUUUUAGUUAAAGAUGGGCGGGCUGAAAUUGUAGUGGAUGAGAAAGGGUUUCAUCUAGUAUGUAAGAUCUUCUGCAAAUACCUUUCUUUUGUCUCUUACAUAAGUUCUUUUCUUUUUUAUUAUUUUUUAAUAACACUUACAACUUUUUCCCAUUUUCAGCACCAAAGAAUGCUCCCUCUGCCGAUGCUGUUGCCUCUAAGGUGGUUUCUUACAACCACUUUGUCUUCAGAUUUGACUUUAAGGAUUGGAAGGUACUUUGGAAAAAAAUAAAAAUAAAAAUUGCUAUGUGCUCUACAGUGAGAUUGUGUUUUUAAUAUGUUUCUACUGUAUGCUUCCUAAUUGGAUGUUUGAGUUGGUUUUUUGUGUAUCCAACAUACAGGUUUUCUUUCUUUGAGCAGCAUGUUAUGUCUACUUGAAGCUCUUAAUUGUGGUUAAUAAUUCUUGUUUGUUGCUGUUAUUGGUUUCUAAAGUUUUCUGGUAUUUUCAGUUGAUGAUGAGCACUGUUGAGGUUGGGGAGGAGCUGAUGCCUCAUAGGACUGAAGUAAACAUAUCAAGCAGUUGUGAACCUGCUCAAGUAAAUGAAGAAACUCUGGAAAUAGCACCCAUAAUGCCCACAAGGAAACUGUCCAGAAACCGUGGCUUGGUUUUACCUGAACAGUCAGUACAGGAAACUUCACUUGAGAAUGAAGAUGCUGAAGUAAGAGAUGCUGCCAUCCGUAAAGGGAAGUGUAAAGUAAGAUGAUACAGACUUAAGAGGGUUUUGUGGUGCUUCAGCUUCUCUUUGCAGCUUAGUUAGGAGAUGUCUAGAAAUUAGGAUGAUUUAAGACUGUACAUAGAUAGAAUUAAUUUUUUGGGUUUAGGCACGUACAUAGGUCCGUAUAUUUCGUUAUUUCAUUAUCAAAUAGAAAAUAAGAAUAUUCUUUAUAUUCCCACUAGUCCCUCCUUUUAUUUCCUCAAUUUUGUAGUAUUAUCCUUUUCUUUACCUAACAAAAAAAAAAAGAAAAAAAAGAAUUGGUGGUCGUGCAUUGUCAAAAUCCUAUUGACUUUUUCAACUCCUAAAUGAUAUAAAAAGAACAGAUAAUGAAAAAAGGUCUCGUCUAAAAUGAUGUAUGGAUUAGUCUUCAAUCCCGGCAGGCAUCAAAUGAGCUUUGUGAUAUGCAGCUGAAGCGGUUAAUAAGAAGAGCAAACAACAUCAUUUGUGCCAAAUAAAAUUUAUCACUGAUAUCUGCACGACAAUUAAAUUGAUGAUCAUUAACAUCUGGCUCUACUUAGGGAAUGUGAAGGUCCUAAAAUGUGAGGCUUUCAGCUCCAUCUCCCAUUGCAUCUAGACCAUUGUGGACAUAAAUAACAGCGCCAGUGAUUGCUGAAGCCAAAGACGAUGCUAGGAAAGCUGCGGCAUUCCCCACCUCCUCGGUUCCAUUAUAGGUUAAAAUGUUAUUUCGAUAAACAACCAGGUGCAAAUACAGAGCUUCAGUUAUUUGAUGACUCGCCUGCCGACAUCUCUUUCUGUAAGGAUGCAUUUUCCAGUGAGUAAUCAAUCAUGACAUCAAUAAAACCAAUUGCUUUUGGCAUGGCUAAAAAAUGUAAGGAAUGACAUUGUUAUGUUUGGUAAAAUAGCAUUAUAGGAACCCUUACAUAAGAAAAACUCAAAUCACUACAAUCAAUUGUUGAAAUGAAGCAGCUCUACAAAGCUAACAUGGACCAGUUUAGUGAGAUUAUAUUUCAUUGGUGAGAGGUAAUUGUUAACCUGUAGAUAUUGUGUUGACUCUAAUUUUAUGUUUUCUUCCAGCUUCGAGAGCCAGCACCUAAUCAAGGAAAGACAUUUCAUAGAUACGAUAUAUUCAUAAGAAACAUCUGUCGAAAGAGAAACAGAUCUUUAAGUAUCCUACGCAAAUAGUACUUGCACGCGUAUCACUCUCCAGAGCACUUCUUGCUAAGCUCAUACCUCCACCACAUCUGAACAAAAAAAUGUUCAGGAGGGGAAAAUCAGACAAUGAGAAACUUGAUCAUGAAAGCAAAUGGCGUUAAAAGCAGCAUACCCUGGAAUGAAGCUUUCAGAACCCAUGUACGUUAGAGAAAUUGAAGCACCACCUGUAAGUUACAACAGCCAGUUUAAAGUCUAGCAUGCUGUUGCAUUUCAGAUAUCAUCACGAGGAGAUGUAAUAUUAGGAAUCAUUAUUGGAACGAAAUCAAUUAACAAGUAAGAAAUUAUGAAUAAUCAAUUUGAUUAUUCAUUAUUUCAGUUUCUAAUAGAGGAUUUGCACAUUGUAAGAAAUGUGCCUGGAUUCAUUAUUGGAACGAAAUGCUUGAGUAAAGAAACAAAGGAGGUAGUCGAUGCAGAUCCGAGGUAUCCGUGCCUUGAUGUCUCCUAAAGAGGCUUGCUAACCUGUUCAUGAUUUCUUACAGUUGAGGUGCAUAGCAAACUCAAAAGUAACAGCACAAAAACGACAAAAAAAAGCCAAGAGCUGAACCUUGGGCCCAUUUACAAGUGAAUGGACAAGGAUAUCAAUGCUGCCAAAAUGCUGUUUUACAGAUUCAGCAAUCUCCUACGGGGACGGAAUUACAAAUUAGUCAAUCAUCGUGCUGUUUGUUAACUGUUUAUAUAGGAACUUUGGAAGAACAGGACAUCUUAUUCAAUUAUGGAAUUGAUCAUGAAGGUCAAUGAACAGAAACCUGUGGAAACAUAAAUGCGGACCCAAGAAAUAUAGGGAGGCAGUGUGUAACGAUCAAAAGAAAUGUUUGUUCCUAUAUGACCCCAAUAAUAUUGAUCCCCCAACACCGAGAGGGAAAUAAUAAAAACCUUAGAAUAAUGUACGCCAUUUAUAUGGUCAAAUGAAUUAUUAUUGCAUAUGGCACCUCAAAAUUCAAAAUUAUACACAAUUCCAUUAGCUGAAGAGCAUCACAGAAAAUGGUUUACAUGCCUCCCACGUUAUUUUGCACUUAAAAAUAAUGAUGUUAAUUUACAUCAGAGUUUAUGGAUAUCGCUUCUCUGAUGCACUUGAUCAUGUGCUUGUAAGAUAUACAUAAACGAUGGAUUAUUCCUGAACAGUCCAUUUUUGAGGACCUGCGUGUCGUUUGUUAUUUUUUACCUGCACAAAAUAGCAAAUAUGAGUAUAAUCAAGAAUUUUUUUUGUAAACUAAUUUAGUCGCAACACCCAUAACCAUCAUAAGAAGUAUCGUUACAUUUUUAGGAACAUCCUCAGGAUUAUCAUAAACUGCAUCCAGAGGGUAAACUUUGGAAAUUUCCAUCAACAAACCAUCUGGUAACCUGAAAUAUCAAAUUCAAACAUACCAAUGAGCAUAGACGCAAGGCAGUACAGUAAGGGGGUGUUUGGUACCCCCUCAUUACAGGGGAGUACAAUGCAGCCUCAUGUUUGGGGCACCAAGCACCCUAAUGGAGCAAGUUGGCGCAUUAACUAAACCCAACGUUACUAAAAAAUAGUUGGGUUUAGCUAAUACGGCUUGCCAUCUUUUUUUUUUUUCCCUUCUUAAAUUUUUCCCUGUUAAAUUAACUUUGUAAUAAUAAUAAAUAAAUAUAAUUUUUUAAUAUAAUAUAAUAUUUUAUUUUUAUUUGCAUAAUAUAAUUUUUAAUAUAAAUUAAUAGAUUUAAAAUUUAUUACUCAAUAAUAUUAUAUUAUAUUUUAAUUUUUACUAUACUAAAAAUAUAACUAAAUAAUAUAUUAUUUAAUUAUAUUAUAAUAGUUAAUAUAUAAAAUUGAUUAAUCUUUAAUAAGUUAAUAUAACAAAAAUUAUAAAUAUUUAAAUAUGAAUAAAUUUGAAUAAUAUUAAAUGAAAAUUAAUAAUAUAAACAAUUACUAGAUUAUUUAACACAAUCUAUUUUAUUAGUGAUCAUAUGUUACAACAAUUGUAUCACUUUAUUAUUUUGUGAUCAUCUUGUGGUAUAUAUAAACUUUUAUUCUAUCAUCCUAAGGUGAUUUUUCAACUAAUCUUGAAGAUUUUAAUUAUUUAUUUAUGUUGUUAUAUUACUUAGAGAUUAUUUGAUUAAAUUAUUUGUUUCGAUCUUUACUUCAUAGGUUAUAUGUUUACAAAAUACUGAAAAAUACAUUUUCGAAAACUUAAGGGUAUAAGCUUCGAUUUUUAUGAAUAAUUAUGAUAUUUUUAUUUAAAAUGUUAAAUUUCUAAAAUUUAAGACUUUUAUAUUUAGUAUUUUUCUAAGUACUAAUAAAUAAUAUUUUCUAAAUAUAUAAUUUAAAUUAAUCAUAAAAAAAUUAAUAUAGUAUUGUGCAGCACCAAAUCUAGUAUAAUUAAAAAUUAAUACAAUAUAGUGUAGCACUAAACAUUAUAUAAUAUUAUUAUAAUACAAUGUUAAUGCAAUACAAUAAUACACAUGUAUUAAAAUAAUACAAUAUAGCAUAACACAGUGUGUCAAAAAUAAGGAUUUGUGUAAUUACAAGCGUGAUUCGUCAAAUUUCCCAUGCCGCAGGCUGCUUUAAAAAAAUGUUUAACAGCCUGCAUAAAGCAAAAAUAGUUAGUUAGAAAACACAAUUUUGGCAGAACUCGAGCAUGUCUAUUGUCAUAAGAGAAUUAAGUUUGACUAUUUACAUAGAGGCACCUAUGUACCGAUGAGAACUUCAACACCCGUAGCUGCGAGAGAUUUUGCAAUUGCCCAACCGUAUCCAUUGUCAUCAGCGAUCGCAGCAAUAAAUGCUCGUUUAUCUGCCAACAAUUGUGUCAUUGAAAGAUGUUUGAAAUUGGCCAGUACUUGUAGCACAUAUAAACUCUAUUGCGAUUUCGCGAGGCAAUCCACAUUGAUGUAAUGAAAGUGAGGGGCCCACAACAAUGACAGUCCGCCCCGAAUAAUUGAUCCGUUUGCCAAGCCAAGUCUCACGAAAUCUUCCCUCUUUUCCUUCAAUUACAUCUGAAAAACGACUUAUAAAUCUUAUUAUAACCAUCCCUCAUUGACUGUCCACGGAUUCCAUUAUCAAGAAGUGUAUCCACAGCCCCUGUACAAAGCUUUUCUAGACGUCUUUCCUUCCAGAAACUCCUUUUAUCAUUUCGUCCAAGAGGAAUAAUUCCUCUAAUUCUAUGAAUGAUUGAAUUAAAAUUUUUGAACUAAGCCCCUCCAAAUCUAACUGGCUGGGUCCGCCUCGCUUAUUACCAAACUUGUCUAGUUCUUUGCAUCUGCAAGUUUGAAUUAAUGUGAAUGUACAUAUAACAUGUAAAAGAAAGAAUAUAUAUAUAUAUAUAUAUAUAUAUAUAUAUAUAUAUAUAUAUAUAUAUAUAUUCUUUUAUAUAUAAACUAUCCUUAAAUUUCUAGAUUUGUAAUUGUGACUUUUUAGAUGAUGAGACAAACGAAGGGAAAGAAUUUUGAUCGAGUUUAAUUGAAAGAGGACUGGACGUUUAAAGGAGGUGACGAGAGAGAGAAACGAAUGGUGAAAUGAUUAAAAAAAAUUUCCUUGUUAUUUUAGAUUAUGUCAUAUGUGGAAUAAAUAAAAUUGACCCACUAUAUUAAAAAAAAAAGUUAACAAAAGAUAUAUACCCCAUAAAAAAUAAUAAUUUUCCUUACGGGAAGGAAAUUAAGUAUUAUUUUUUGUGGUUCAUUUGCCUAAUCUAGGGCAAAGAGUAUUAGAUCUGUGUGCGUCUCUGUGUGGCAACAAAGUCACGAACCAGCAGCUACAAAGUCACGAACCGGCAGCUACGAAGUCAUGAACUGACAAUACGUAUAGGCACGUAUAAUAAUAAUAAUUGAGAUACUCGGUGUAAAAUUGAUGCAAUAUCUGUUGAUUGAAUUGCAUUAUACAUGAGCAUUUAAUACACAGGACAAUAAAUAAUUGUGACACGAGAUACAAACUAUAUAUCCAAAGUAAGUAUAAUAUUUAAUGUUUUAUUACACUUUCACACAUUUGGUGAACAUUUAUGUAUUAUUUUUAUGGUACUACAUUUUUUUAUUGUAUUAAAAAGAUUGCGUAUACACUCAUCUCCUUUUUCUAUAAAACCUCACACGUAGAACUCCAUCUUUGCAUCUUCACUUGAAAAUGUCGAAAAAUUCAGCCCAAUACUCAAAGCAAUACGGUAUUGGUAUUGAAAAAUUUCUUGUAGGGAAGAGCUUUUUUGUUACUGGGGCAACAGGGUUUCUCGCAAAGGGUAUAUUUUCAUUUAAGUUUUAUUUUUAACACACUAUUUUGGUUUUAUUUUGUGUGUGUGUGUGCGCGCGCGCGCACAUGCUUUUUUAUUACUAGGACAACAAGACUUCUUGCAAAGGGUAUAUAUAUUUUAAGUUUUAUCUUUAACACACUCUUUUUGUUUUAUUAUAUUUAUUAUUUUUAAAAAAAAUUGGGAAUUGUUUAACCCCUAUCUUUUCUAAAAUUCAAAUUUAGUGGCCAGCUAAAUAAAAUUACAUGAAAAUCAUUCGAUAAAACCUCUAAGACAAAGUAUUUUAGAACAUACAGUGUAGGAAUCGACGAGCUAUAACCUUGAAAUGUAUUAAUAUUAUUAUACUUUUCAAUUUUCUUUUUUCUUUUUCAGUUCUUAUAGAGAAGAUAUUACGAACAGCGCCUGAGGUGGGUAAGAUAUUUCUUUUGAUCAAGGCAGAAAGUGAAGAAGCUGCAUCGAAAAGAUUAAAAGAUGAAGUAUGUUUGUUAUAGACUUUUAAAUUUUACUGUUAAUUCACUAAUUUUUUAGAUUUUACUAUUUUGUCCCAAAUCUUUAAUUUCUUUAUUAUUAUUAUUUUUAUUAUUUUGGUUGUGCACUUUCAGGUCAUCAAUGCGGAACUUUUCAAGUGUCUUCAGCAAACCUACGGGGAAUGCUACCAAGAUUUCAUGUUAAAUAAAUUGGUUCCUGUGGUAGGAAAUAUAAGUGAAAGUAACCUUGGAUUAGAAGGAGAUUUGGCCAAAGUGAUCGCAAAUGAAGUCGACGUAAUUAUAAAUUCUGCAGCUAAUACAACCUUACACGAAAGGUUAUAAACUUAUAAUCAUUUAUGACCUUGAUUUAAUCAUAGUUAUAUCAAAUAGAAAGUGAUAUCAACUAACUAGUCUAGCUCUUCAACAAACUAGUGGUAGAUCUAUAAAAAUUUUAGAAAAUCUUUUUUAAAUUUCAGUUAAAAUUUUUAUUUGUCCUCAAUAAAAAUUGUGAUUUCUUUCCAUCGGUUUUGAAUAAUAUAUAUAAACAAAUAAGCUCAAAAGUAUAUUUUCAUUGUCAAAAUAUCUUUAAAGAAUACGUUAAAAUUUAAAAUUUUUUUUAAAAUACUUGAGAAAAACCUAAUUGUUUUACAGUAAAUUAAAUUUGUUCCUACUGAUCUUGAAAUCUGGGCAACGACACAAUAUAUAUUUUUAAAAAAUAUUGCACGUAAUUAUUUAGAUACAUAAUAUAAGUGGCAUCAUGUAGUUUAAUUUGAAAUUGCAGAUAUGACAUUGCUAUCGAUAUAAACACAAGAGGACCUUCCCAUGUCAUGAAUUUUGCGAAAAAGUGCAAGAAGAUUAAGGUUUUUGUGCACAUGUCGACAGGCAAGUGUCUAAAACCUAUAAUGUUCGCAGCAGUCAGCAAGAACCUAUGUGAAAAGAAAAUUGUAAUUUUGAUUUCCUUAAGCUUUUGCCUGAACUCGAGGACUAAAAUGUUGUUACCCUUCUUUCAAAAUUAUUUGCAGCAUAUGUUAAUGGAAAGAGACAAGGAAGGAUUAUGGAAAAGCCCUUCUACAUGGGGGAUACGAUAGCAAGGGAAUUAAACUUCAAUAACUCCAAAAUUGAACCAAAAUUGGACGUUGAAAAAGAAAUAGAGUUGGCUAUGAAAUCCAAAAAAGCCCUUGAAAAUGAUGAAGACGCUCGAAAGAAAAUGAAGGAAUUGGGUUUAGAAAGGUGAUAAAAUCCCCCUUCACUUUAAUAUUUUCUUUGUUUAGAUUUGUUGCUGCUUCGUAUAUGUAACAUCUAAUUGUUAAUUAGGGCAAGAAAAUAUGGAUGGGACGUCACAUAUGUUUUCACAAAGGCUAUGGGUGAAAUGAUGAUUGAUACCUUGAAAGAAAAUAUACCGGUUGUGAUCAUUCGACCUAGUAUGAUUCAGAGCACUUAUAAAAAACCAUUCGCUGGUUGGAUACAAGGAAAUAGGUAUCGGAAAUCAAUUUUUGUUGUAUGUACGUAUAUAUAUAUUGUUUCAGAGAAAUUUUUUAAUAUUAAUUGUUGGUUUAUAUACUCUCUUCUGUAAACUAUUAUCAUGUGUACUCUUAUAUAUCUUAGAUUCUUGUCAUGUGCAAAUAACCAAUGAAUUAAGAGUAAAUAUAGAUACAUGACACAGGAAAACCUAAAAUUAAUUUUUCCAUUAUUUAUAUAUGAGAUUUUAGAUAUCUUAUCUCCCUACCCUACUUCUUGAUUCACAGGAUCUUGGAUCUUAUGAUUUUGUACUAUGGAAGAGGGCAGCUAAACGAGUUUGUAGGAGACCCUAGUGGAAUAUUGGAUGUAGUAAGUAAUAUCAACCAUUUUACUCAAAUGGCUUUUUCAUUGGUGGACCAUGAUUUUGUACUCAUAUAAGUUUUAUUUUAGCAAAAUAGAAGGGAAUUUGCACAUGAUUGAUAGUUAAUUAAUUAAUAUAUAUGCAUAAAAUUUGACAUUUAUCCUAACCACUUAGUGAUAUUUUAGAAAAAUGUUAAAAAAAUUUACACAUGAUUGUUAGUGUUUUGUCAAUUUUGUUAUCCAAAUAUCAGUGCUCAUUAUUUUAACAUAAAUAUUGGCUGCUACAGGUCCCAGUCGACAUGGUUGUGAACGCAACGUUGGCAGCCAUCGCAAAGCAUGGACAAGUGGUCAUACAAAAACCAGAAGUCAAGGUCUAUCAAAUUGCAUCAUCUGUUACAAACCCAUUAGUUACCAAAUAUCUUUUGAGCCUUCUUCACGAACACUUCGAUUCCUCGCCUGUUCUGGACUCAAAGGGAAGCCCAAUCCGUGUUCCAGUAAUGAAGCUUUUCACUUCCAUGGAAGAUUUUUCAGCUCACCUUUUGGAUGGUGCCAUGCAGCGAAGCAUUAUUGGAUCUUCAAAUGGCGAGCUGCUGGCUCAGAAACAAUAUGAAAUUUUACGCAGAAAGGAGUUCGCUAAUGUAUACCUUCCAUACGGACUUUAUGCUGGAAGGU
RNAcentral lists this long non-coding RNA (11556 nucleotides) under Citrus x clementina. RNAcentral describes it as "Citrus clementina (C. clementina) long non-coding RNA (CCLE_LNC002020)". Lineage: Eukaryota; Viridiplantae; Streptophyta; Magnoliopsida; Sapindales; Rutaceae. The record is from RNAcentral.